AGUGAACGCUGGCGGUAGGCCUAACACAUGCAAGUCGAACGGCAGCACAGUAAGAGCUUGCUCUUACGGGUGGCGAGUGGCGGACGGGUGAGGAAUACAUCGGAAUCUACUUUUUCGUGGGGGAUAACGUAGGGAAACUUACGCUAAUACCGCAUACGACCUACGGGUGAAAGCAGGGGAUCUUCGGACCUUGCGCGAUUGAAUGAGCCGAUGUCGGAUUAGCUAGUUGGCGGGGUAAAGGCCCACCAAGGCGACGAUCCGUAGCUGGUCUGAGAGGAUGAUCAGCCACACUGGAACUGAGACACGGUCCAGACUCCUACGGGAGGCAGCAGUGGGGAAUAUUGGACAAUGUGCGCAAGCCUGAUCCAGCCAUACCGCGUGGGUGAAGAAGGCCUGCGGGUUGUAAAGCCCUUUUGUUGGGAAAGAAAAGCAGCAGGUUAAUACCCCGCUGUUCUGACGGUACCCAAAGAAUAAGCACCGGCUAACUUCGU
This 491-nucleotide ribosomal RNA is filed under the name uncultured bacterium. RNAcentral describes it as "partial 16S ribosomal RNA". It matches the Rfam family "Bacterial small subunit ribosomal RNA", at positions 29 to 506 of the family's 1533-position model. The record is from RNAcentral.